This 425-nucleotide ribosomal RNA is filed under the name uncultured bacterium. Its description in RNAcentral is "bacterial SSU rRNA". It matches the Rfam family "Bacterial small subunit ribosomal RNA", at positions 354 to 796 of the family's 1533-position model. The record is from RNAcentral.
GUGGGGAAUAUUGGACAAUGGGGGCAACCCUGAUCCAGCCAUGCCGCGUGAGUGAUGAAGGCCUUCGGGUUGUAAAGCUCUUUUGGCGGGGACGAUGAUGACGGUACCCGCAGAAUAAGCCCCGGCUAACUUCGUGCCAGCAGCCGCGGUAAGACGAAGGGGGCUAGCGUUGUUCGGAAUUACUGGGCGUAAAGCGCGUGUAGGCGGUUUGCCAAGUUGGGUGUGAAAGCCUUGAGCUCAACUCAAGAAAUGCACUCAGUACUGGCAGACUAGAGGACCGGAGAGGAUAGUGGAAUUCCCAGUGUAGUGGUGAAAUACGUAGAGAUUGGGAAGAACACCAGUGGCGAAGGCGGCUAUCUGGACGGUUUCUGACGCUAAGACGCGAAAGCGUGGGGAGCAAACAGGAUUAGAAACCCUAGUAGUCC